This 503-nucleotide long non-coding RNA is filed under the name Gadus morhua (Atlantic cod). RNAcentral describes it as "lncRNA (ENSGMOG00000034691.1)". Lineage: Eukaryota; Metazoa; Chordata; Actinopteri; Gadiformes; Gadidae. The record is from RNAcentral.
CUUCUAUUGACAGGUUGAUAACUCAGAUAUUAUAAUUUACAUGAUAUCUGAUUGCAUUAGUAAUAAUAAAAAUCACCCACAACGUUUCCAUACAAUCUGACUUCACGGCGUUGCCUCACCGCAGUUAUAGGUCUUGUUGUCGGCUAUGCAAUUCUGAGUUUUUUCCCAGACAGAAAUUGGGGAAUGCUGCACUCUGUGUCGCAUUGCAGUGAGUUCCCAUGACGAUGCUGGAAACGGCCAACACAAUAGAAUGUCAGCAAAACAGGCUGAGAGGAGCUGGCUGCCUGAAUUGGUGCUGCAGACCUCCUUGACCUCCUCCUGAUUGAGUUCUCCUGGAUGUUUCCAGUGCAGAGCACAUGUUGCCCCUGUCAGAGGUGUAACCGUGGCACCCAAGUCCGUAUGACAGACCUUACGAACACCUGAUGACAUCAUCAUCAUCAUGAUCAUAGUCAUCAUCAUCUCCAUCGCCAUCAUCAUCAAACUGUAGCCCUUCCCUGGGUCAG